AAGUCGUAACAAGGUUUCCGUAGGUGAACCUGCGGAAGGAUCAUUAAUGAAUUCUGAAAGGGGUUGUAGCUGGCCGUUUCGUUUGAGCGGCAUGUGCACGCCCUGCUCAUUAUCCAUCUCACACACCUGUGCACAUACUGUAGGUCGGCUUUUGAUUGGAGUGGGGUCUUCAUUGACUCUGCUCUUUAGUUGGGGCCUUCCUAUGUUUUAUCACACACUACUUCAGUUUAAAGAAUGUCCUCUUGCGUCUAACGCAUUUAAAUACAA
RNAcentral lists this unclassified non-coding RNA (267 nucleotides) under plant metagenome. Its description in RNAcentral is "partial contains small subunit ribosomal RNA and internal transcribed spacer 1". The stretch from base 1 to 46 matches the Rfam family "Eukaryotic small subunit ribosomal RNA", at positions 1786 to 1831 of the family's 1831-position model. The record is from RNAcentral.